GCACCAUUAGCUCAGUCGGUAGAGCAACUGACUCUUAAUCAGUGGGUCCUGGGUUCGAGUCCCCGAUGGUGCA
RNAcentral lists this transfer RNA (73 nucleotides) under Ruminococcus sp. RNAcentral's name for it is "tRNA-Lys". It matches the Rfam family "tRNA". Rfam says of the family: Transfer RNA (tRNA) molecules are approximately 80 nucleotides in length. Their secondary structure includes four short double-helical elements and three loops (D, anti-codon, and T loops). Lineage: Bacteria; Bacillati; Bacillota; Clostridia; Eubacteriales; Oscillospiraceae. The record is from RNAcentral. RNAcentral also lists the same sequence under 3 other names.